RNAcentral lists this long non-coding RNA (445 nucleotides) under Pan troglodytes (chimpanzee). RNAcentral describes it as "long non-coding RNA NONPTRT001187". Lineage: Eukaryota; Metazoa; Chordata; Mammalia; Primates; Hominidae. The record is from RNAcentral.
UAAGAGGGAAGGAACUACCUCCAAUAAGGCAGUUAGAGAAAGGAACACAUACAUGGCCUUUAUUUGAUGUUGGAGUUUAGUCAUUAAAAAGAGAAAUACUUUUUUUUGUAGCCGUAAAAUUUAGUGGUGGGAAUUAGGGUCUUGUGUAGUUACAUACAAGGAAUAAGGUUUAUUUAACAAUGUUGCAGUAAAGAUGCUAAGAAAAGAACUGGACAAAUCGAGAUAAGCAGUGUCCCUCACAGAUGUAUUUCUCAAAAUCUGAUGGUCCUGAAUUGGAAUCUCCACUCAUCAGUUUUAAGCAUAUGAAUUUUAACAAUCCUCUGUAGGUGAUUCUGAGUUAUAGUUUUAAAACUACUUGUUUAAAUUCUAAAAUAACAUUGCUUUAUUUUGUUGUGUAACAUGUUACUAGGUACAUAAUAAAUUUGAAGUUGUUGACAUUUUCAAC